Molecule: long non-coding RNA, 1596 nt
Organism: Cuculus canorus (common cuckoo)
Lineage: Eukaryota; Metazoa; Chordata; Aves; Cuculiformes; Cuculidae
Exons: 7
Source: RefSeq, a predicted model, not a curated record
UAAUCUCAUGCCUCUGGUGUUACGUGGGAACCGAGAUGAGGAGGAAAAUGGGUCUCUGAAGGUUACUCCAUUUCCACCAGGGGGUUCUUGCAGCUCCCCAGCCCGCUUUGCUCUGGGGAGGGAGCAGGGAUGAUCUGCAGAGGGCUGAUCUGGUGCCUCAUUGUCCUCACUGCUAGGAAAACCCAACUGAAAUCUGGGAAUCCUUUCUUAAUCCAGUACUCCUCUGGAAUACCUUCUGAAUCAAGACUCUCAAAGGUGCAUCUGCAGCAGGGAGUGAGGCUCACGUUGAGGCUGCUGCCUCUUCUAGGCUGUCUUUGGAGACCUUCAGUGGAGGGGGGACAGUUGGGCUUUCCAGGUUUAAUUUCCGCUUGAGAGGCUCCGCUCGCUUACACGGGGUCUGACCCGGCUAUUGAAACUGAGCAACCAGAAGAACACCUCUCUCCAAAGUGUCGUCUCUCUGGAUGGAGGAGGAACGUGAAUAUUUAUGAGCUGUUACUCAUUUACACUGGCUGAACAACCCCAUCUCUCUCAGCCUGUCCUGGGAUGGGAGGUUCUCCAGCCCUUGCAUUGUCUCCAUGGCCUCCUCUGGAGUCGCUCCAACAGCUCCAUGUCCUUCCUGUGCUGAGGACUCCAGAACUGGACGCAGGACUUACAGACUGACUGCUGGGGUGCCAGAAAUUACGGUUCUGUUGAGCGCGACCACGUUUCACGGUUUGGAACCCACCGAGAUGGACAACACAGCACUUGAAAAGGCUCACAGGAGGAAAAUCACAAGGAAGUCACAAAUUGCUGGAAAAAUUGGAGUUGGAAAGCAAAAGGGAUUUCCUUGGAGCCCGCGCUGGAUGACAUUAUAGAGAAUCCCCUGCUCUUAUUUUGGGUGAAUACUUGUAAAUUGGAGCCCAGGUGUGUGUGAGUACUUUAAAUUGUUUCUUCCAUGUGCCUUCCUUGCGUUACACUGCAAAGAUAUUAACAAUGGUAUUUGCAAUCUUUCUUCUAACUUAAUUCUUCAAAGUCUUCUCUGUUUCUGAUUAGGAAAAAUACCUUUAUAUCAUUAACAAACUUUGCUGCCUCAGACCCGCCUUUUGAUGUAAUUGGAAAUAAGUGAUGGAGCUCAGCCACGCAGCCGUGAGGCCUUAAGCCUUUUGCUGUCAAGAAAGCUACACAUUUAUUUCCACUCCUUGCAUUGUGCCUCCUCGCCAACCUUUCACACUGGAUCCCAUUUACUCAGAAGCAUCAGGACUAUUUGGUCCCCAAAAGAGAAGAUUCACGCAGAAUAAUUUUGCCAGCUAAGCCUCCAAGUUUAAAUACAGUUUAGAGUAUUUCUUUGGCCUCAAAAUCAUUAAUAGCUUUUUAUGCAAUCAAUCAAAGUGUGGUGAUAGAGCUCUUCAGGCCGAUGCACGUGUGACUAAAGUGCUGCUUAAGAAUAUAAACAUAUACAGAUCAGUUUCUAGAACUUCCCAGGGGUCUAAUAACUUCCCUUCGGGGAAAAAAAGCAUCAAAACAGGCCUUCGGACCUGAAGCUCCAAAAGACUUCCAACAGGCCCACACACAUCUAUUCAUGUGUAUUCUCUGCUCUUAGGUCUCUAGUUUGUUCAU